RNAcentral lists this ribosomal RNA (425 nucleotides) under uncultured bacterium. RNAcentral describes it as "bacterial SSU rRNA". It matches the Rfam family "Bacterial small subunit ribosomal RNA", at positions 354 to 796 of the family's 1533-position model. The record is from RNAcentral.
GUGGGGAAUAUUGGACAAUGGGCGAAAGCCUGAUCCAGCAAUGCCGCGUGAGUGAUGAAGGCCUUAGGGUUGUAAAGCUCUUUUACCCGGGAUGAUAAUGACAGUACCGGGAGAAUAAGCUCCGGCUAACUUCGUGCCAGCAGCCGCGGUAAUACGAAGGGAGCGAGCGUUGUUCGGAAUCACUGGGCGUAAAGAGUGCGUAGGCGGUUAUACAAGUCAGGAGUGAAAUCCCAGGGCUCAACCCUGGAAUUGCUUUUGAAACUGUAUAGCUAGAGUCCCGGAGGGGUUAAUGGAAUUCCGAGUGUAGAGGUGAAAUUCGCAGAUAUUCGGAGGAACACCAGUGGCGAAGGCGAUUAACUGGACGGGCACUGACGCUGAGGCACGAAAGCGUGGGGAUCAAACAGGAUUAGAUACCCGGGUAGUCC